Molecule: long non-coding RNA, 335 nt
Organism: Anguilla rostrata (American eel)
Lineage: Eukaryota; Metazoa; Chordata; Actinopteri; Anguilliformes; Anguillidae
Exons: 3
Source: RefSeq, a predicted model, not a curated record
GUGUCAGUGGCUGCAGGUUGGUUGGAGUUCACUGAAUCAGUGUCAGUGGCUGCAGGUUGGUUGGAGUUCACUGAACCAGUGUCAGUGGCUGCAGGUUGGCUGGUGUUCACUGAAUCAGUGUCAGGGGAUGCAGGUUGGCUGGUGUUCACUGAAUCAGUGUCAGGGGAUGCAGGUUGGGGGGGGGGUUCCCUGAAACAGUGUCAGUGGCUGCAAGUUGGUUGGUGUUCCCUGAAUCACUGUCAGUGGCUGCAGGUUGGUUAGUAUCAGUGGCUGCAGGUUGGUCAGGAGUUUGCUGAAUCCGACGCUGCAGCUGCAUGUUGUUUGAGUUCGAGGCU